RNAcentral lists this unclassified non-coding RNA (204 nucleotides) under uncultured Lepiota. RNAcentral's name for it is "sequence contains ITS2". The record is from RNAcentral. Lineage: Eukaryota; Fungi; Basidiomycota; Agaricomycetes; Agaricales; Agaricaceae.
AAUUCUCAACCGCUCCAGCUGUGAUAGUUGGAUGUGGCUUGGAUAUUGGGGGUUUUGCGGGCCUCUCUGGAGGUCGGCUCCCUUGAAAUGCAUUAGCGGAACUGUUUGCGGUCUGUCACUGGCGUGAUAAUUAUCUAUGCCAAAGACAAAGGCUGCUCUCUGUCUGUUCAGCUUCCAACUGUCUUUGUAGACAACGUUAUAUAU